This 242-nucleotide ribosomal RNA is filed under the name uncultured bacterium. Its description in RNAcentral is "partial 16S ribosomal RNA". It matches the Rfam family "Bacterial small subunit ribosomal RNA", at positions 527 to 769 of the family's 1533-position model. The record is from RNAcentral.
GUAGGGAGCGAGCGUUAUCCGGAAUUAUUGGGCGUAAAGGGUGCGUAGGUGGUUUCUUAAGUCAGAGGUGAAAGGCUACGGCUCAACCGUAGUAAGCCUUUGAAACUGAGAAACUUGAGUGCAGGAGAGGAGAGUAGAAUUCCUAGUGUAGCGGUGAAAUGCGUAGAUAUUAGGAGGAAUACCAGUUGCGAAGGCGGCUCUCUGGACUGUAACUGACACUGAGGCACGAAAGCGUGGGGAGC